RNAcentral lists this ribosomal RNA (203 nucleotides) under uncultured cyanobacterium. RNAcentral's name for it is "partial 16S ribosomal RNA". It matches the Rfam family "Bacterial small subunit ribosomal RNA", at positions 102 to 322 of the family's 1533-position model. The record is from RNAcentral. Lineage: Bacteria; Bacillati; Cyanobacteriota.
GACGGGCGAGUAAAGCGUGGGAAUCUGCCCUCAGGAGGGGGAUAACGGUUGGAAACGGCCGCUAAUACCCCAUAUGCCGAGAGGUGAAAUGAAUUUCGCCUGAGGAUGAGCCCGCGUCUGAUUAGCUAGUUGGUGAGGUAAGAGCUCACCAAGGCAUCGAUCAGUAGCUGGUCUGAGAGGAUGAUCAGCCACACUGGGACUGA